RNAcentral lists this ribosomal RNA (671 nucleotides) under Salmonella enterica subsp. enterica serovar Typhimurium. RNAcentral describes it as "partial 23S ribosomal RNA". It matches the Rfam family "Bacterial large subunit ribosomal RNA", at positions 1 to 708 of the family's 2925-position model. Lineage: Bacteria; Pseudomonadati; Pseudomonadota; Gammaproteobacteria; Enterobacterales; Enterobacteriaceae. The record is from RNAcentral.
GUUGUAUGGUUAAGUGACUAAGCGUACACGGUGGAUGCCUUGGCAGUCAGAGGCGAUGAAGGACGUGCUACCCUGCGAAAAGGGUUGGUGAGCUGGGAUGGAGCGCUAUAGCCAACCAUGUCCGAAUGGGGAAACCCACCUAAGAUAACUUAGGUAUCGUUAAGUGAAUACAUAGCUUAACGAGGCGAACCGGGAGAACUGAAACAUCUAAGUACCCCGAGGAAAAGAAAUCAACCGAGAUUCCGUUAGUAGCGGCGAGCGAACGCGGAGCAGCCCAGAGUCUGAAUCAGUGGAUGCGUUAGUGGAACGGAUUGGAAAGUCCGGCGAUACAGGGUGAUAGCCCCGUACACGAAGACGCAUUGCUGUGAGCUCGAUGAGUAGGACGGGACACGUGGUAUCCUGUUUGAAGAUGGGGGGACCAUCCUCCAAGGCUAAAUACUCCUGACUGACCGAUAGCGAACCAGUACCGUGAGGGAAAGGCGAAAAGAACCCCUGUGAGGGGAGUGAAAUAGAACCUGAAACCGUGUACGUACAAGCAGUGGGAGCACCUUCGUGGUGUGACUGCGUACCUUUUGUAUAAUGGGUCAGCGACUUACAUUUUGUAGCGAGGUUAACCGAAUAGGGGAGCCGUAGGGAAACCGAGUCUUAAUAGGGCGAAUUAGUUGCAAGGU